CGUCGGACGACUCGCCGUCGUACGUGGGGUAGUAACAACCUGGAAACAGGUGCUAAUACCGCAUAAGCGCGCUGUGCCGCAUGGCGCGGCGCGGAAAACCCCGGUGGUACAGGAUGGGCCCGCGUCUGAUUAGCUGGUUGGCAGGGUAACGGCCUACCAAGGCGACGAUCAGUAGCCGGCCUGAGAGGGUGGACGGCCACACUGGGACUGAGACACGGCCCAGACUCCUACGGAAGGCAGCAG
This 243-nucleotide ribosomal RNA is filed under the name uncultured bacterium. RNAcentral's name for it is "partial 16S ribosomal RNA". It matches the Rfam family "Bacterial small subunit ribosomal RNA", at positions 116 to 354 of the family's 1533-position model. The record is from RNAcentral.